AGAAUUCGAAAUUGAGUCUUACACUCUUACAAUUUUUGACCGAAUCUAGCUAAAAUAUCAAAAAUUUAAUUCUGGAACAAAUCAUAUAUGGUUGGCCGUAACGUUUACCUUUCCUCCCUUGGUCUUCGGAGCAAGUGACGCACAUAGGAUUUUUUUUUUUUUUCGUCAAAAUAUAAUUUAUAUAGAUGAAUUAAUGUAAUCAUGAUACAUUUGUUGUGACGCACAUAGGAUAUAGACAAUUUCGAUCACACAAAAUAUUAUCAUGUAUCUUUGGAACUAUUUUAUGUCUUUUAGCUAAAUAUAUUAGCAUGCAUUAUAUUAUACUAUUCAUCUUAAAAUAUGCUUAGUUCAAAUCAUUUACUAUAAAAU
Molecule: long non-coding RNA, 369 nt
Filed under: Capsella rubella
Lineage: Eukaryota; Viridiplantae; Streptophyta; Magnoliopsida; Brassicales; Brassicaceae
Description: long non-coding RNA (CRUB_LNC002741)
Source: RNAcentral